AAGUGCGAUAUAUAGUGCGAUCUGCAUGAAUCUGUGAGUCAUCUAGUAUUUGAACGCAACUUGCGCCAGGCGAAGAGCUUGGCAUGUUCCAUCGAGUACCGAAAACGAUAGUUUUGUAGUAAUACAAAGAUAUGGCCAUUGUCUGUGGAGACUGCGCUGAAAUGGAGCAAGUGAGGUGUAGGAACUGCUCUCACGUGUGCCAGAGACAAUUGUCUUGUCACGCGGGGGCAGCGUCUAUUCCAACAAUUCCAACUUUAACAAACUGGUCUCGGUGGAGCAAGAUUACCCGCUGAACUUAA
RNAcentral lists this unclassified non-coding RNA (299 nucleotides) under uncultured fungus. RNAcentral describes it as "sequence contains ITS1". The stretch from base 1 to 101 matches the Rfam family "5.8S ribosomal RNA", at positions 51 to 154 of the family's 154-position model. Lineage: Eukaryota; Fungi. The record is from RNAcentral.